UAUAGAUUUAACUUGCCUUGUUUUGUUCUCUUGCAUUUUCUUUGAACAGAAUAAUAAAUGAGUCCCUCAGGGAGCAACUUCUAGUUACCAUUCAGAAAACAUUUAAUUAUAAUAAGGCACAAUCACAUCAGCUGUUUGCAAUUAUAAUGGAGUGCAUGAAGAAGAAAGAACUCGUCACUGUGUUCAGAAUGGGUUCUGAGGGCCAGCAGGACAUCGAGAUGGCAAUUUUAACUGCCCUGCUGAAAGGAACAAAUGUAUCUGCUCCAGAUCAGCUGAGCUUGGCACUGGCUUGGAACCGCGUGGACAUAGCACGAAGCCAGAUCUUUGUCUUUGGGCCCCACUGGCCGGUGAAACUGUUUUUUUCAAUUCAUAUCAUUGAUCAUGACUUUGUACAAGUGACAUAUUAGUAUGUUCUCCCUUGUGAC
Molecule: small RNA, 425 nt
Filed under: Pongo abelii (Sumatran orangutan)
Lineage: Eukaryota; Metazoa; Chordata; Mammalia; Primates; Hominidae
Description: retained intron
Source: RNAcentral